This 544-nucleotide transfer RNA is filed under the name uncultured cyanobacterium. RNAcentral's name for it is "partial 16S-23S intergenic spacer". The stretch from base 206 to 278 matches the Rfam family "tRNA". Lineage: Bacteria; Bacillati; Cyanobacteriota. The record is from RNAcentral.
AGACAACAAAAUGUAAAUAUUAAUUUUGUCACCUUAGGUCGAUCGGUAUCUCAGGUUCUUAUUAAUCAUAAGGAUUUCAGUUUCUAAGUUUUUUCUAGGUCACACCCAUCACUUUCCCUGGGCCAUUAGCUCAGGUGGUUAGAGCGCACCCCUGAUAAGGGUGAGGUCCCUGGUUCAAGUCCAGGAUGGCCCAUAUCUCUAUGUUGGGGGUAUAGCUCAGUUGGUAGAGCGCCUGCUUUGCAAGCAGGAUGUCAGCGGUUCGAGUCCGCUUACCUCCACUGAAUACCACCUUUUACAUAUUGCUUAAAAGGGAAAAUGUUUUGAGUCGUGACUUUUUUGCUCUGAGCGAAUCUAGCUUCCUAUUUUAUCUAAGAAAUAAGAAGCUGGACUCAUUGAAUUUUUUUCAUUGUUUUCAGAGAACCUUGACAACUGCAUAGAUUAUUUUUGAAGACAAUAAGCAUCUUUAAUGAUGCAGAUUUAUUAUUUGUGCAAAUGCAUUAAAUAACAAUUCUAUUAAGCUGAUGCUUCAAUUAUUGAAGUUAUU